Pelobates cultripes (western spadefoot toad) is the source of this 91-nucleotide non-coding RNA. The record is from the annotation of a GenBank genome assembly. Lineage: Eukaryota; Metazoa; Chordata; Amphibia; Anura; Pelobatidae.
UAUUACCAUCAAGUAAUAAAACACUUCUUAGAGGUAAAAAUAAAUAAACUUUAUUUUACCUCUAAGAAGUGUUUUAUAACUUGAUUGUAAU